UACGUAGGUGGCAAGCGUUGUCCGGAAUUAUUGGGCGUAGAGGGAGCGCAGGCGGGACGCCAAGUCCAAAUUAAAAGUUCGGGAGUAAUGCCCGUGAUGGUUUGGAAACUGACGUUCUUGAGAGCAGGAGAGGCAAGCGGAAUUCUCGGUGUAGCGGUGAAAUGCGUAGAUAUCGGGAGGAACACCAGUGGCGAAGGCGGCUUGCUGGACUGUAUCUGACGCUGAGGCUCGAAAGCCAGGGUAGCGAACG
This 250-nucleotide ribosomal RNA is filed under the name uncultured prokaryote. Its description in RNAcentral is "partial 16S ribosomal RNA". It matches the Rfam family "Bacterial small subunit ribosomal RNA", at positions 524 to 774 of the family's 1533-position model. The record is from RNAcentral.